Molecule: ribosomal RNA, 406 nt
Filed under: uncultured bacterium
Lineage: Bacteria
Description: partial 16S ribosomal RNA
Rfam family: Bacterial small subunit ribosomal RNA
Source: RNAcentral
AUUGAACGCUGGAGGCAGGCCUAACACAUGCAAGUCGCACGAGUGGCGGACGGGUGAGUAAUGUCUGGGAAACUGCCUGAUGGAGGGGGAUAACUACGGGAAACGGUAGCUAAUACGGCAUAUCAGCGGAUGUGCCCAGUUGGGAUUAGCUAGUAGGUGGGGUAAAGGCUAACCUAGGAGACGAUCCCUAGCUGGUCUGAGAGGAUGACCAGCCACACGGGAACGGAGACACGGUCCAGACUCCUACGGGAGGCAGCAGAGGGGAAUAUUGCACAAUGGGCGCAAGCCUGAUGCAGCCAUGCCGCGUGUAUGAAGAAGGCCUUCGGGUUGUAAAGUACUUGCAGCGGGGAGGCGUUACCCGCAGAAGAAGCACCGGCUAACUCCGUGCCAGCAGCCGCGGUAAUAC